CCUACGGGAGGCAGCAGUGGGGAAUAUUGCACAAUGGGGGAAACCCUGAUGCAGCGACGCCGCGUGAGUGAAGAAGUAUUUCGGUAUGUAAAGCUCUAUCAGCAGGGAAGAAAAUGACGGUACCUGACUAAGAAGCUCCGGCUAAAUACGUGCCAGCAGCCGCGGUAAU
Molecule: ribosomal RNA, 169 nt
Filed under: uncultured bacterium
Lineage: Bacteria
Description: partial 16S ribosomal RNA
Rfam family: Bacterial small subunit ribosomal RNA
Source: RNAcentral